This 245-nucleotide ribosomal RNA is filed under the name uncultured bacterium. RNAcentral's name for it is "partial 16S ribosomal RNA". It matches the Rfam family "Bacterial small subunit ribosomal RNA", at positions 524 to 768 of the family's 1533-position model. The record is from RNAcentral.
UACGGGGGGAGCGAACGUUGUUCGGAAUUACUGGGCGUAAAGGGCGUGCAGGCGGUCCUGUAAGAGAGUUGUGAAAUGCCCUGGCUCAACCAGGGACAUGCACCUCUGACUGCAGGACUUGAGUAUAGGAGAGGAUGGGGGAAUUCCCGGUGUAGCGGUGAAAUGCAUUGAUAUCGGGAGGAACACCAGUGGCGAAGGCGCCCAUCUGGCCUAAUACUGACGCUCAGGCGCGAAAGCUAGGGGAG